RNAcentral lists this long non-coding RNA (342 nucleotides) under Equus asinus (donkey). RNAcentral's name for it is "lncRNA (ENSEASG00005024328.1)". Lineage: Eukaryota; Metazoa; Chordata; Mammalia; Perissodactyla; Equidae. The record is from RNAcentral.
AGGACCUCAUCCAGGAUAUCACAUUACAUUUAGUCAUCAAGUGUCUCUAAGACUCGUCUUGGUUACAGCAGUUCCUCAGACUUUCCUUCCUUUUGCUGACCUUGAUAGUUUUGAGGAGUAUGGCGCGCCUCUGCAAUUGUUUUCUUCAAGAAAGGAGAGCAGAGAUUUCUCCAUUCUCUUCCCCUCCUCCGUCCUCGGUCUAGCUGACAUGAGAUGAUGAUAACUUUAGCUGGGAAGUGGAAAGGAAUAUAUGGAUGUGAAAUUCUAUGAAUUCAGGUCAGACGUAAUGAUUAGAAGAGUUUUAAAGUUCCCACAUCAGCUUGUGUUCAGCAUUUUCCAAAC